CAGGCCUAACACAUGCAAGUCGGACGGACUUUUCCUCGAAGGUUUCGGCCGGAAGGGAGAAGUUAGUGGCGGACGGGUGAGUAACGCGUGGGUAACCUACCUCACAUUGGGGGAUAACGAUUGGAAACGAUCGCUAACACCGCAUAAGACCACGGCACCGCAUGGUGCAGGGGUAAAAACUCCGGUGAUGUGAGAUGGACCCGCGUCUGAUUAGCCAGUUGGCGGGGUAACGGCCCACCAAAGCGACGAUCAGUAGCCGACCUGAGAGGGUGAUCAGCCACAUUGGGACUGAGACACGGCCCAAACUCCUACGGGAGGCAGCAGUGGGGAAUAUUGCACAAUGGGGGAAACCCUGAUGCAGCGACGCCGCGUGAGUGAAGAAGUAUUUCGGUAUGUAAAGCUCUUUAAGCAGGAAAGAUGAUGACGGUACCUGCAGAAUAAGCGCCGGCUAAAUACGUGCCAGCAGCCGCGGUAAUACGUAUGGCGCAAGCGUUAUCCGGAUUUACUGGGUGUAAAGGGAGCGUAGGUGGCCUGGCAAGCCAGAAGUGAAAACCCGGGGCUCAACCCCGCGGAUUGCUUUUGGAACUGUUGGGCUGGAAUGCGGUCGAGGCGGGCGGAACGUGGCGUGUAGCGGUGAAAUGCGUAGAUAUGCCACAGAACGCCGAUAGCGAAGGCAGCUCGCCAGGCCUGCAUUGACGCUCGGGCACGAAAGCGUGGGGAUCGAACAGGAUUAGAUACCCUGGUAGUCCACGCCGUAAACGAUGGGCGCUCGUCGUCGGCGACAGAUGGUCGGCGGCCAAGCGAAAGCGAUAAGCGCCCCACCUGGGGAGUACGGUCGCAAGGCUGAAACUCAAAGGAAUUGACGGGGGCCCGCACAAGCGGUGGAGCAUGUGGUUUAAUUCGAUGAUACGCGAGGAACCUUACCCGGGCUUGAACUGCAGGGGAACGACGGGGAGACCCGGAGGUCCGCAAGGACUCCUGCAGAGGUGCUGCAUGGUUGUCGUCAGCUCGUGCCGUGAGGUGUCGGGUCAAGUCCCAUAACGAGCGCAACCCCUGCGUCCAGUUGCCAGCGGUCAGGCCGGGCACUCUGGACGGACUGCCCACGCAAGUGGAGAGGAAGGCGGGGAUGACGUCAAAUCAGCACGGCCCUUACGUCCGGGGCGACACACGUGCUACAAUGGCCGUCACAGAGGGAAGCCACCCGGCGACGGGGAGCGGAUCCCGAAAGGCGGUCACAGUCCGGAUCGGGGGCUGCAACCCGCCCCCGUGAAGCUGGAAUCGCUAGWAAWCGCGCAUCAGCCAUGGCGCGGUGAAUACGUUCCCGG
RNAcentral lists this ribosomal RNA (1325 nucleotides) under uncultured rumen bacterium. RNAcentral describes it as "partial 16S ribosomal RNA". It matches the Rfam family "Bacterial small subunit ribosomal RNA", at positions 43 to 1377 of the family's 1533-position model. The record is from RNAcentral.